GACAGGUACGAAGCGGUUUUAAUGACAGAGUUAGUGAGUGGUUUGAAAGGGGCUGACUCUAGCAAAUCAGACAUAUUUUGGAUACCCUUAAGUACAGUCUGAUUGAAUAGGAUGAAAGGAAACUGGCGUUGUUGGAUGCAAUAUAUUAAUAAUUAGCUUGGAUCAGGAUCAUUUUACUGGCUGGCUAGCUAGUGCCAAGUGGCGAAGCAAUUCACUAG
Molecule: non-coding RNA, 218 nt
Organism: Pelobates cultripes (western spadefoot toad)
Lineage: Eukaryota; Metazoa; Chordata; Amphibia; Anura; Pelobatidae
Source: the annotation of a GenBank genome assembly